Molecule: ribosomal RNA, 430 nt
Filed under: uncultured bacterium
Lineage: Bacteria
Description: partial 16S ribosomal RNA
Rfam family: Bacterial small subunit ribosomal RNA
Source: RNAcentral
GUGGGGAAUAUUGCACAAUGGGCGCAAGCCUGAUGCAGCGAUGCCGCGUGAGGGAUGGAGGCCUUCGGGUUGUAAACCUCUUUUAUCGGGGAGCAAGCGAGAGUGAGUUUACCCGUUGAAUAAGCACCGGCUAACUACGUGCCAGCAGCCGCGGUAAUACGUAGGGUGCAAGCGUUAUCCGGAAUUAUUGGGCGUAAAGGGCUCGUAGGCGGUUCGUCGCGUCCGGUGUGAAAGUCCAUCGCUUAACGGUGGAUCCGCGCCGGGUACGGGCGGGCUUGAGGGCGGUAGGGGAGACUGGAAUUCCCGGUGUAACGGUGGAAUGUGUAGAUAUCGGGAAGAACACCAAUGGCGAAGGCAGGUCUCUGGGCCGUUACUGACGCUGAGGAGCGAAAGCGUGGGGAGCGAACAGGAUUAGAAACCCCUGUAGUCC